GUUGCAGAAGCACAUCAAUCUACAGAUACCAAAGCUUCCUAUUACUUAGAUUUGUUUUUCCUAUAUUAAAAUUAUAAAAAUUAAGAAGGGCAAAUAGGUGUUUUGAAGAACAGCUGGAGAAGCAAUUACAGAUUCCUUGCAAUCAUCCUCAUUGUGAUUUCUCAACAUACCACAAAAGUACGGAUAGAGUGUUUUCCGCCUUUCAGAUGCUUAAAAAGGAAAGAUAGAAGUUACCUGUGAAGAAACUCAUUUUUUUUGACAGUUGACAACCUUUUUUUUUUUUUUCUUC
Tympanuchus pallidicinctus (lesser prairie-chicken) is the source of this 289-nucleotide long non-coding RNA. RefSeq lists it as uncharacterized. The transcript is spliced from 2 exons. The record is from RefSeq and is a predicted model, not a curated record. NCBI's taxonomy places the organism in Eukaryota, Metazoa, Chordata, Aves, Galliformes, Phasianidae.